CAGUCGCCACGGUAAAACGUAGGUGGCAAGCGUUGUCCGGAAUUAUUGGGCGUAAAGGGCUCGCAGGCGGUUUCUUAAGUCUGAUGUGAAAGCCCCCGGCUCAACCGGGGAGGGUCAUUAGAAACUGGGAAACUUGAGUGCAGAAGAGGAGAGUGGAAUUCCACGUGUAGCGGUGAAAUGCGUAGAGAUGUGGAGGAACACCAGUGGCGAAGGCGACUCUCUGGUCUGUAACUGACGCUGAGGAGCGAAAGCGUGGGGAGCGAACAGGAUUAGAUACCCCCGUAGUCCCUGUCUCUUAUAC
RNAcentral lists this ribosomal RNA (301 nucleotides) under uncultured bacterium. Its description in RNAcentral is "partial 16S ribosomal RNA". It matches the Rfam family "Bacterial small subunit ribosomal RNA", at positions 509 to 807 of the family's 1533-position model. The record is from RNAcentral.